CAUGAAUAUUUUUAUUCAAUGACUAUAUAUAGAUAUAUCUAUAUAGAACUAAUGAGAAAUGAUGAGUAUGAUGAUGGUUUAAUACUGCCCAACAAUCUGACAAAAAUAUCAUACACUGUACAAAAAUAUCACAGAAUUAGUAUAAUCGGCCAGAUUUUAUAUCAACUUUUAACUAUACAAGAAAAGUAUUUCUAAUUUUUUACCAUCAACAAUUCAAUUUUCAAACAGAGCAAAGAUAGUUUUUUGUUAAAAUUUGUUUAAGGAGAGAUAAGAAGUUUUUGUUAAAAUUUGUUUAAGGGGAGAUAACUCUCCUUAUUAUCAUCAUUUACUUGUAUUAAAAAUUGGUUGGCAACUAGUAAAUUCAUAACUUACUCAACAUCUUU
Molecule: long non-coding RNA, 383 nt
Filed under: Mytilus galloprovincialis (Mediterranean mussel)
Lineage: Eukaryota; Metazoa; Mollusca; Bivalvia; Mytilida; Mytilidae
Source: RNAcentral